AUGGCCAAGUCCAAGAACCACACUGCACAUAACAAGUCCCCAAAAUAGCACAGAAAUGCCAUCAAGAAACAUCAGUUGCAAAGAUACGAAUUUCUUUAGGGGGUGGACCCCAAGUUCCUUUGGCUCUUUGCCAAGCAGCACAAGAAGGAUCUGAAGAAAAUGCAGGCUAAUAAUGGCAAGGCCAUGAGUGUGAGUGCAGAGGCUAUCAUGGCCUCAUAAAGCCCAAGGAUGUUAAGCCCAAAAUCCCAAAGGGUGUCAGCCUCAAGCUCACUUGACUUGCCUACAUUGCCCACCCCAAGCUUGGGAAGCAUGCUUAUGCCCAUAUUGCCAAGGGUCUAAGGCUCUGCCAGCCAAAGGCCAAGACCAAGGAUUAAACCAAGGCCCAGGCUGCAGCUUCAGCUCCAGCUACAGGUCUAGCUCCAGCUCUGGCUCAGGCUCCCAAAGGUGCCCAGAUCCCCACAAAGACUUUGGAA
This 473-nucleotide long non-coding RNA is filed under the name Homo sapiens (human). RNAcentral describes it as "non-protein coding lnc-COMMD3-4:1". Lineage: Eukaryota; Metazoa; Chordata; Mammalia; Primates; Hominidae. The record is from RNAcentral.